GCCUGUUUAUCAAAAACAUGUCCUUUAGGUUUAUUAUUAAAGGUCAGGCCUGCCCAAUGAUAAAAUUAAAUGGCCGCGGUAUUUUGACCGUGCAAAGGUAGCAUAAUCAUUAGUUUUUUAAUUGAAAGCUGGAAUGAACGGUCUGACAAGAAAAUUACUGUCUCGGUUAAAUAAUUAGAAUUUUAUUUUUUAGUCAAAAAGCUUAGAUGUUUUUAUGGGACGAGAAGACCCUAUAGAAUUUUAUAAUUUUUUUUUGAUUGGGUUUUUAGUUUAAUUAUCCUAAUUAAAGAAAAAUUUAAUUUGUUGGGGUGACAGGAAAAUUUAUUUAACUUUUCUUAAGUUUUUUCACUUAUUUGUGUUUUUGUGAUCCAUUUUUUAUGAUUAUAAGAUUAAAUUACCUUAGGGAUAACAGCGUUAUUAAUUUGGAGAGUUCUUAUUGAUAAAUUAGUUUGCGACCUCGAUGUUGGAUUAAAAUUUAUUUUCGGUGUAGGGGCUGAAGAAUUGAGUCUGUUCGACUUUUAAAAUUUUACAUGAUCUGAGUUCAGACCGG
This 550-nucleotide ribosomal RNA is filed under the name Serrognathus titanus sika. Its description in RNAcentral is "partial 16S ribosomal RNA". It matches the Rfam family "Bacterial large subunit ribosomal RNA", at positions 1798 to 2619 of the family's 2925-position model. The record is from RNAcentral. Lineage: Eukaryota; Metazoa; Arthropoda; Insecta; Coleoptera; Lucanidae.